CAGCGGUAGGGAUCAUUACAGAGUUGCAAAACUCCCUAAACCAUUGUGAACGUUACCUAUACCGUUGCUUCGGCGGGCGGCCCCGGGGUUUACCCCCCGGGCGCCCCUGGGCCCCACCGCGGGCGCCCGCCGGAGGUCACCAAACUCUUGAUAAUUUAUGGCCUCUCUGAGUCUUCUGUACUGAAUAAGUCAAAACUUUCAACAACGGAUCUCUUGGUUCUGGCAUCGAUGAAGAACGCAGCGAAAUGCGAUAAGUAAUGUGAAUUGCAGAAUUCAGUGAAUCAUCGAAUCUUUGAACGCACAUUGCGCCCGCCAGCAUUCUGGCGGGCAUGCCUGUUCGAGCGUCAUUUCAACCAUCAAGCCCCCGGGCUUGUGUUGGGGACCUGCGGCUGCCGCAGGCCCUGAAAAGCAGUGGCGGGCUCGCUGUCGCACCGAGCGUAGUAGCAUACAUCUCGCUCUGGUCGCGCCGCGGGUUCCGGCCGUUAAACCACCUUUUAACCCAAGGUUGACCUCGGAUCAGGUAGGAAGACCCGCUGAACUUAAGCAUAUCAAU
Molecule: ribosomal RNA, 553 nt
Filed under: Chaetomium sp. CB3
Lineage: Eukaryota; Fungi; Ascomycota; Sordariomycetes; Sordariales; Chaetomiaceae
Description: eukaryotic LSU rRNA
Rfam family: 5.8S ribosomal RNA (bases 194-347)
Source: RNAcentral